This 450-nucleotide ribosomal RNA is filed under the name uncultured bacterium. Its description in RNAcentral is "partial 16S ribosomal RNA". It matches the Rfam family "Bacterial small subunit ribosomal RNA", at positions 338 to 795 of the family's 1533-position model. The record is from RNAcentral.
CCUACGGGGGGCUGCAGUAGGGAAUAUUGGACAAUGGGCGAAAGCCUGAUCCAGCCAUGCCGCGUGAUAGAUGAAGGCCCUCUGGGUUGUAAAUAUCUUUUAUCUGGGAAGAAACAAUCUUAUUCUUAAGAUCUUGACGGUACCAGCGGAAUAAGCACCGGCUAACUCCGUGCCAGCAGCCGCGGUAAUACGGAGGGUGCAAGCGUUAUCCGGAUUCACUGGGGUGUAGGGGUGCGGAGGCGGGCUGAUUGAAAGCUCCGAGCUGAACUUGGAAACUGCCAUUGAUACUGCAAGUCUUGAAUGUCGUAGGGGUAAGCGGAAUGUUGCAUGUAGCGGUGAAAUGCUUAGAGAUGUUACAGAACACCAAGUGCGAAGGCAGCUGACUAUGCGAUGAUUGACGCUGAGGCACGAAAGCGUGGGGAGCAAACAGGAUUAGAUACCCGUGUAGUC